Molecule: ribosomal RNA, 245 nt
Filed under: uncultured bacterium
Lineage: Bacteria
Description: partial small subunit ribosomal RNA
Rfam family: Bacterial small subunit ribosomal RNA
Source: RNAcentral
AGAAUCAACGCUGGCGGCGUGCCUAACACAUGCAAGUCGCACGAGAAAGGGGAGCAAUCCCCGAGUAAAGUGGCGCACGGGUGAGUAACACGUGAAUAAUCUACCUCCGAGUGGGGAAUAACUGAGAGAAAUCUUAGCUAAUACCGCAUAACACUUACGAGUCAAAGCAGCAAUGCGCUUGGAGAGGAGUUCGCGGCCGAUUAGUUAGUUGGCGGGGUAAUGGCCCACCAAGACUGUGAUCGGUA